RNAcentral lists this ribosomal RNA (508 nucleotides) under Austrofundulus limnaeus. Its description in RNAcentral is "partial 12S ribosomal RNA". It matches the Rfam family "Bacterial small subunit ribosomal RNA", at positions 755 to 1533 of the family's 1533-position model. The record is from RNAcentral. Lineage: Eukaryota; Metazoa; Chordata; Actinopteri; Cyprinodontiformes; Rivulidae.
AAAUAUACUAUACACCUAUCCAUAUAUGUUUGCUGGAAAACUACGAGCAGAAGCUUAAAACUCAAAGGAUUUGGCGGCGCUUUAAAUUCCCUAGAGGAGCUUGUCCUAUAAUCGAUAAUCCCCGCUAAACCUUACCUUCUCUUGCCUUCAGCCUAUAUACCGCCGUCGUCAGCCCACCCUCUGAAGACCUAACAGUAGGCGAGAUCGGCCCAGCCCCAAACGUCAGGUCAAGGUAUAGCAUACGAGAAGAGAAGAGAUGAGCUACACUUCCUAACCAGGGCUACGGAAGAUCUAUUGAAAAAUAGAUUUAAAGUAGAAUUUAGCAGUAAGUAAAAAAUAGAGUGUUUUACUGAAGUUAAAAUUAAUGCGCGCACACACCGCCCGUCGCUCUCUCCUAACUUUAACUUAAACUAUAAAUAAAUCCCUAUAACUAUUAAAGGGGAGAAAAGUCGUAACAUGGUAAGUGUACUGGAAAGUGCGCUUGGUUAAACAGAACAUAGCUAAAAUA